AUUAGGAUGAUGACAGAAAGCCUUUCAUGAUCAUGCUCAUUGAAAGCCAACGAAAGCAAAUGCUGAAAUGCAAGUUGUAAAUUCAAGUUAUUAGGUCACUAUUUGAGAAGAAAAUGAGAUGGUUUCUUUCAUUAUUUGCCACCACCAUGUUCCAUUACCAUCAUCUUUCCCUUCCAUUUGUAAACAUAACAGCAAACAUAAGAUUGAACUCUACAGAACAUAAGAUCACAGAUUUUAUGGAUGAUGUAAAAGAUGCUCAAUUACUCAUACAGUUAUCAUAA
RNAcentral lists this unclassified non-coding RNA (281 nucleotides) under Hevea brasiliensis (rubber tree). The record is from RNAcentral. Lineage: Eukaryota; Viridiplantae; Streptophyta; Magnoliopsida; Malpighiales; Euphorbiaceae.